UAGUGGCGAACGGGUGAGUAACACGUGGGCAAUCUGCCCUUCACUCUGGGACAAGCCCUGGAAACGGGGUCUAAUACCGGAUAACACUCCUGCUCUCAUGGGCAGGGGUUAAAAGCUCCGGCGGUGAAGGAUGAGCCCGCGGCCUAUCAGCUUGUUGGUGAGGUAAUGGCUCACCAAGGCGACGACGGGUAGCCGGCCUGAGAGGGCGACCGGCCACACUGGGACUGAGACACGGCCCAGACUCCUACGGGAGGCAGCAGUGGGGAAUAUUGCACAAUGGGCGAAAGCCUGAUGCAGCGACGCCGCGUGAGGGAUGACGGCCUUCGGGUUGUAAACCUCUUUCAGCAGGGAAGAAGCGAAAGUGACGGUACCUGCAGAAGAAGCGCCGGCUAACUACGUGCCAGCAGCCGCGGUAAUACGUAGGGCGCAAGCGUUGUCCGGAAUUAUUGGGCGUAAAGAGCUCGUAGGCGGCUUGUCACGUCGGGUGUGAAAGCCCGGGGCUUAACCCCGGGUCUGCAUUCGAUACGGGCUAGCUAGAGUGUGGUAGGGGAGAUCGGAAUUCCU
Molecule: ribosomal RNA, 564 nt
Filed under: Streptomyces galilaeus
Lineage: Bacteria; Bacillati; Actinomycetota; Actinomycetes; Kitasatosporales; Streptomycetaceae
Description: bacterial SSU rRNA
Rfam family: Bacterial small subunit ribosomal RNA
Source: RNAcentral